GACGAACCGUGCGAACGUUGUUCGGAAUCACUGGGCUUAAAGGGAGCGUAGGCGGGCUAUCAAGUCUGGGGUGAAAUGCCACGGCUCAACCGUGGAACUGCCUUAGAUACUGACGGCCUUGAGGGAGAUAGGGGCAUGCGGAACUGUAGGUGGAGCGGUGAAAUGCGUUGAUAUCUACAGGAACUCCGGUGGCGAAAGCGGCGUGCUGGAUCUCUUCUGACGCUGAGGCUCGAAAGCUAGGGGAGCAAACGGG
Molecule: unclassified non-coding RNA, 253 nt
Filed under: uncultured Planctomycetia bacterium
Lineage: Bacteria; Pseudomonadati; Planctomycetota; Planctomycetia
Description: contains 16S-23S intergenic spacer region
Rfam family: Bacterial small subunit ribosomal RNA
Source: RNAcentral